This 468-nucleotide ribosomal RNA is filed under the name uncultured bacterium. RNAcentral's name for it is "partial 16S ribosomal RNA". It matches the Rfam family "Bacterial small subunit ribosomal RNA", at positions 28 to 507 of the family's 1533-position model. The record is from RNAcentral.
GACGAACGCUGGCGGCGUGCUUAACACAUGCAAGUCGAACGGAAAGGCCCUGCUUUUGUGGGGUGCUCGAGUGGCGAACGGGUGAGUAACACGUGAGUAACCUGCCCUUGACUUUGGGAUAACUUCAGGAAACUGGGGCUAAUACCGGAUAGGAGCUCCUGCUGCAUGGUGGGGGUUGGAAAGUUUCGGCGGUUGGGGAUGGACUCGCGGCUUAUCAGCUUGUUGGUGGGGUAGUGGCUUACCAAGGCUUUGACGGGUAGCCGGCCUGGGAGGGUGACCGGCCACGUUGGGACGGAGCUACGGCCCAGACUCCUACGGGAGGCAGCAGUGGGGAAUAUUGCACAAUGGGCGGAAGCCUGAUGCAGCAACGCCGCGUGCGGGAUGACGGCCUGCGGGUUGUAAACCGCUUUCGCCUGUGACGAAGCGUGAGUGACGGUAAUGGGUAAAGAAGCACCGGCUAACUACGUG